Molecule: long non-coding RNA, 1058 nt
Filed under: Homo sapiens (human)
Lineage: Eukaryota; Metazoa; Chordata; Mammalia; Primates; Hominidae
Description: non-protein coding lnc-SRD5A1-3:1
Source: RNAcentral
UAAAGUAGCCUUGAGAGCUUCCAGUUAAAUCUGAUGAGCUGAACAUACACCUUUCCUUCUCCCCUCUCUAUUCUGACCCCAGUUGAAAUCACCUCAAAGGAAUUUAGGUGGGGGAGUGGCCCCAUAAAGAGAGUGAGAGAGAGUCACCACUGCAGAUGGACCACAGCACGGGUGGAGAUGGGCCUGAUGUGGCAGAGCAGAGAGGCCAUGACAGUGCACACCCUGCGGAGACCCUGGGUCCUCACAUCUGGGCUGACAGAAGGCAGAGGGAAAUGAGCAUCUCAAAGUGAGACCAACUAAACAUGGCGCCUGCAGCAGAAAGCAGUGUCCUCUGCACCCCCACUCUCCAGGGAGAGCACAGAGAGCCCAGAAAUGAGCCAUGUGCCCAUUGCCGGGGAAGAGAAGACCCUGUCUGCUGUUAUCUGUAGGAAGACCACAGCCAACUGCUAUCAUGACCAAAGCUAAAAUCCAAUGAGGCAGAGAACAAUAGUUGUACCCAUCUCCUCCUUAGUCUCCAAGGCCAGCGGUGCAUGCAUUUGUGCAUUCAACAACAUUUGCCAAGCACUUACUGUAUAUCAAGCACAGCAGUGGGUGCUGAGGACGGAUGGGUAGAAAAAACAGUCCUGGCCCAGGUGGAGUGACAGCUACAUGUUGGGGACUGCAGUAUCCCAAGAUGCAAAGAGCCUGGAUCUCUGAGUCACUCCACUGCCUGGAGAAGGAUGACUCAACUGGAACAUCCUCAUUAGACAACAGGUGGGUGAGAAAUAAACUUUUGUUAAGUCACUAAAAUUUGGAGGUCGUUUGCAACAACUGGCAUGAUUUAUUUAAUACUAUGGAAAUUGGUGUUCUGAAGUGGGUUGCUGCAGUAACAAAAAUAUCUGGCCAUUUUCUUAGCAGUUGAACAAGAGGUGGGGUGGAAACAGCAUGCUGGGUGACUGGACAUCUAUGUUACAUAGUGACAAGACAUCUGGCAAAUGGUCAUGUGCAGAAACUUGGAAGGCUGACUCCAUCACUAUAGGCUCAUGGCAGUUAUUGGAUAAUGGAAUGUUAGAAAUGUG